Molecule: ribosomal RNA, 971 nt
Filed under: Muscodor sp. VC-01
Lineage: Eukaryota; Fungi; Ascomycota; Sordariomycetes; Xylariales
Description: eukaryotic LSU rRNA
Rfam family: Eukaryotic large subunit ribosomal RNA
Source: RNAcentral
AUUGCCCUAGUAACGGCGAGUGAAGCGGCAACAGCUCAAAUUUGAAAUCUGGCUUUCGGGCCCGAGUUGUAAUUUGUAGAGGAUGAUUUUGGCGCGGUGCCUUCCGAGUUCCCUGGAACGGGACGCCUUAGAGGGUGAGAGCCCCGUACGGUUGGACACCAAGCCUCUGUAAAUCUCCUUCGACGAGUCGAGUAGUUUGGGAAUGCUGCUCUAAAUGGGAGGUAAAUUCCUUCUAAAGCUAAAUACCGGCCAGAGACCGAUAGCGCACAAGUAGAGUGAUCGAAAGAUGAAAAGCACUUUGAAAAGAGGGUUAAAUAGCACGUGAAAUUGUUGAAAGGGAAGCAUUUACUACCAGACCUUCUCCUGGCGGAUCAUGCGGUGUUCUCACCGCUGCACUUCGCCUGGUUUAGGCCAGCAUCGGUUUUCGUAGGGGGAUAAAAGCUUUAGGAACGUAGCUCCCUCGGGAGUGUUAUAGCCUUUUGCAUAAUACCCUUACGGGGACCGAGGACCGCGCUUUUGCAAGGAUGCUGGCAUAAUGGUAGUCAAUGACCCGUCUUGAAACACGGACCAAGGAGUCGAACAUUUGUGCGAGUGUUUGGGUGUUAAACCCUCACGCGUAAUGAAAGUGAACGUAGGUGAGAGCCCUUACGGGUGCAUCAUCGACCGAUCUUGAUGUCUUCGGAUGGAUUUGAGUAAGAGCAUAACUGUUCGGACCCGAAAGAUGGUGAACUAUGCGUGGAUAGGGUGAAGCCAGAGGAAACUCUGGUGGAGGCUCGCAGCGGUUCUGACGUGCAAAUCGAUCGUCAAAUCUGCGCAUGGGGGCGAAAGACUUAUCGAACCAUUAAACCAGCGGUAAAUUUACUUACUAGGUGGUUAAGAGGCCCCCCGUCAGGGAGAGGCCUAGACGCCCUACCCUGGAGGUGCUACCCUGCACUUCCGGGUGGGCUGUCGACAUCGCUAAAUUGCGGGAA